This 234-nucleotide ribosomal RNA is filed under the name uncultured bacterium. RNAcentral describes it as "partial 16S ribosomal RNA". It matches the Rfam family "Bacterial small subunit ribosomal RNA", at positions 15 to 238 of the family's 1533-position model. The record is from RNAcentral.
GAUCCUGGCUCAGGACGAACGCUGGCAGCGUGCCUAAUACAUGCAAGUAGAACGCUGAAGGAGGAGCUUGCUUCUCUUGGAUGAGUUGCGAACGGGUGAGUAACGCGUAGGUAACCUGCCUGGUAGCGGGGGAGUAACUAUUGGAAACGAUAGCUAAUACCGCAUAAUAGCAGUUGUUGCAUGACAAACUGUUUGAAAGGUGCAAUUGCACCACUACCAGAUGGACCUGCGUUG